UACGGGGGGUGCGAGCGUUGUUCGGAUUGAUUGGGCGUAAAGAGCGCGUAGGCGGGCUUGUAAGUCGAUUGUGAAAUCCCCAGGCUUAACCUGGGAACUGCAGUCGAAACUGCUAGUCUUGAAUGUUCGAGAGGUUGGUGGAAUUCCAGGUGUAGAAGUGAAAUUCGUAGAUAUCUGGAGGAACACCGGCGGCGAAGGCGGCCAACUGGCGAAACAUUGACGCUGAGGCACGAAAGCGUGGGGAGCAAACAGG
RNAcentral lists this ribosomal RNA (253 nucleotides) under uncultured bacterium. RNAcentral describes it as "partial 16S ribosomal RNA". It matches the Rfam family "Bacterial small subunit ribosomal RNA", at positions 524 to 776 of the family's 1533-position model. The record is from RNAcentral.